UUAUGCUUGCGCGAAUGAACCGCUUCCUGUCCGCUCUCCGACGUCGCCGCUCGCCGCUCCGCCCGGAUGCCGCCGGCUCGUCACGGACUCGCGCGUAACACUCGUCACUUUGUUACGCACAAGCUGUUCGAACCACACAGCCACGGCAUCCCGUGGCUUUUUU
RNAcentral lists this non-coding RNA (163 nucleotides) under Burkholderia sp. lig30. RNAcentral's name for it is "Burkholderia sRNA 7". It matches the Rfam family "Burkholderia sRNA 7". Rfam says of the family: Did not show any change in expression in iron-depletion and hydrogen peroxide (oxidative stress) treatment. The record is from Rfam by way of RNAcentral. Lineage: Bacteria; Pseudomonadati; Pseudomonadota; Betaproteobacteria; Burkholderiales; Burkholderiaceae.